CCUACGGGGGGCAGCAGUGGGGAAUAUUGCACAAUGGGGGAAACCCUGAUGCAGCGACGCCGCGUGAGCGAUGAAGUAUUUCGGUAUGUAAAGCUCUAUCAGCAGGGAAGAAAAUGCCGGUACCUGACUAACAAGCCCCGGCUAACUACGUGCCAGCAGCCGCGGUAAUACGUAGGGGGCAAGCGUUAGCCGGAUUUACUGGGUGUAAAGGGAGCGUAGACGGCUGUGCAAGCCAGAUGUGAAAGCCCGGGGCUCAACCCCGGGACUGCAUUUGGAACUGGGUGGCUGGAGUGUCGGAGAGGCAGGUGGAAUUCCUAGUGUAGGGGUGAAAUGCGUAGAUAUUAGGAGGAACACCAGUGGCGAAGGCGGCCUGCUGGACGAUGACUGACGUUGAGGCUCGAAAGCGUGGGGAGCAAACAGGAUUAGAUACCCCUGUAGUC
Molecule: ribosomal RNA, 440 nt
Filed under: uncultured bacterium
Lineage: Bacteria
Description: partial 16S ribosomal RNA
Rfam family: Bacterial small subunit ribosomal RNA
Source: RNAcentral